CGGUAGUGUUUAGUGCUUGAUGAGUAGUGAUUUGUGUGUUCUUUUCAGAAUUAUACUCAUGUUGGAUAUGUACUAACUAUAGGAGCCAUUUCCAAAAGAAAAAUGGAUAAACCUAUCUUCGAUUCGAGGAUUCGAGGAGUUCCAGGAUUAUUUUUGGUCUUUCAGGUACUUUCUUUGAAGUAGUUUCCUCCUUUAGCGUUUUUCAAGAAUUUAAUGUCUAUGUAUUCCAUCCACUUUAUCCGAUAUAGUAUAAACCAUUUUGGAUAUUCCAAAAAGCAACGAAAAAGAAAACUCAAACAACACUUAAUCACUGACAGUACCACGCGUUCGGAGGCUAAUCUCAACACUCUCGCUCAAAUUCGUUAGAUGAGAUAAAGGAUGCACACAGCCAGGCAUCUAGGUAACAUACAGUUUGUCCACCAAGAGGAUACAGGGCAGGAAAGGUUGCUAUCUGUCAUUGUCAUUAACAGGGGCUACUGGAAAUAAAGAAUAAUUUAACCAUAACAUAGGAACAACGGAACCUACUUUGAAAAGUUUCCUCUACAUCUGAAUUACGAUGCUUUUUCUCUGGAUUUAAUUUCCCUUUUAGUACAAUAAAAUAUUUUAGCCAAUUUGUAAUCCACAUGUCCAAACCAUACAGAAAAUACCCAGAAGAGGCAAGGUAUUGAAGAAAGAUGGUUAUUUUGAUCACUUUGAUUAUGCGUGUUAAAAACAA
Sitophilus oryzae (rice weevil) is the source of this 715-nucleotide long non-coding RNA. RefSeq lists it as uncharacterized. The transcript has 6 exons. Lineage: Eukaryota; Metazoa; Arthropoda; Insecta; Coleoptera; Curculionidae. The record is from RefSeq and is a predicted model, not a curated record.